UACCUUUCGGUCCUGGUUAGGACUCUGCUCUCGGUCUGGUUAGGAGAAGGGCUUUAGGUGGCGUGAAGGUUAGGAGAGGCAGGAGCUCGGGAAGAAGAAGAGAGAGGUGCGACAGGGCAGAGGGGACGAGACCGUGGCGGCGGAAGAGAGGGGCCGCGAACUACACGUCGGCGCCCCGCGGUGAUGCAAGAGCUAGGUCGGCCCAGCCCGCGGCCAGCGGCCGCAGUGCGCGGCGCACGGCACUAAGACCUAGACCGGCGGCUACUUUUCACCACCACCCCCUUCUCUCGCGGGAACAGGAGCCACAGGCCCGGCGGUACCGACUGCGGUCUCGGGAACCGACCGGAACUCUAGCAGGCAGUAGCCGUAGGAGCAGUAGGUAGGUUCGCGGUUCAGGAGCUGCGUAGACGUCGGUGACCUAGAGGUGGCAAGCCAGGGGCGGAUGCAGGUGAGGGGGGAGGAUAACGAAAUAAGGGUUGCCGCCCCACCCUGCCCGCACCCGGGGCUUCUGGCGCUAGGACCGAGUAGACCGUCACCCCCGCAAGGACCGCGUGACACCCAGCUCGAGCGACGACCUCCGCCGCCGCCGCCGGCCGCGCGGCUACGUCUGUACCGGCGACCACAAGCUGGCCAAGUAGCUCCUCUCCGACCAGUGGCUGCAGGGGUUCUAGCCGCUCUUCCACACCCCGUCUCGCGCCUCGUGCUUCCUCCUCUUCCUCUACCACGGCCGGUUCCGCCACUGCAACCCGCCACCGCUCCAAGAACCUUGGUCCGCCUUGCCCCCUCUGCCGCUCCCCGGCUCACGUCCCCGAGCGUCACUUCCGAGCGCGCCGGCACAGCCUUCCGCCCAGCAGGACACUAGACGCGUCCGAAUAGCUGCUGGACUACCUUUGUUCCCUCCGGCAGCGGCCGCCGCUGUGAUGAUGCAGUGCGCGACGACUCUAUAUCGCGGUAGCAACCUAAACGACCAUGACCUAGGUCGCCCUCCUCUAGGGACUCCGUAAACUAAGAACACCCUAAGGGUGUGUAGAACGUCCUAGUUGUCCAAUAGCCGUGGAAGAGUCAGGGAGACGUGGGUACUGGGUCCGGUUUGGUUCAUGAACGUAUAACUUCUUUGAAGGUACGACAAAAUGCGCACCUAAGAUUGUUGACUAGAUCGUAUAUACAAUAGUAUCGUCUUAUUCUCUACGCGAGGUUGGUCACCUAAAAAGUAGGUUCUACGAAGAUAUUCUUUACGCCGUUUGUAGUCAUUACCUGACGUGGUCCAUAGUAGAGACACGGUACCCCACACAGCACCCCUGACUAGGCACCGACUCCAGCUGUUUUUUUUUGUCCCCUCGGGUGAUUGUUGGUUUAAGGUCUGACCAAAAACAGUAUAGUCUGUAAUCAGUACUUUCAACGUCAGAAAGUAAAAAUAGUAUGUUUCGUGUGACUAACCAAGAGUGCCCUAUCGCUACGGAAAGUCAACAAGAACAGUCAUGUAGGCUCGUCAAGCAAAUUUAGGUGUAUUGUCACGGAAAUCAUCCGCUAUCGUUCCGUCAGUCUGUUAGAAUCAAACCCCUUUAUUCUAUCCAAUGGACUGCUAUGUAACUUUCUCCUUCCUUAUAACUAUAAAGCAGCUACCGCACUGGACGUUUUCCUACGAGAACCACUGUCGUAGGACCCGAAGACUUUGUACGAGUCAAGUCGACUUUCCUACAUAAGUUAAUACGUCUCUCUACCUUAACAAGCUUGAGGUCACGAUGGUUAGCUGCUGUACGGUUCUGUAAUGGUGUUCUCGUAGCCACGAAGGUCCUACUUCUUACUUACGUACAGUAAAUCCCUAUUGCCACCCGUUACUUUACAACUUCCCAGGUAGAGAGUGGGGUGAGGUAUAUCUACGAAUCAAGAAGUACCGCUAACAGAGAUUACAAAAACAAACAUUAUAUAAAACCGAACCUUUAUAUUUUUGAGGUACGGCGGACAGUGUGUUAAAAAGCAGCAGGCCCGUUUGGGGGAAAAGGUAAUUAAAGAACUACAUACCAAUACUACGUCAGAAGAUCUGCUUCUACCUAAAUCCAACACACUAAGGUGUCAUAUGUAACGUGAAGGAAAUUCGUACUUAUAGACUUGCACGUGCCACAUAUAAAGAGUCAGUACAACAAAAAGACAAAUAUAAAGGUCCUAUGUAUAUCAUGUACAUAACGUAAUCUUAUAUUGAAGAUGAAAACACGAUAAUAAAAGGAAGUACCAUAUACACCGUCUUGUGGUACAUAUAGAUUAUAGAAGUCCAAAGUCCUAAAUUUACGGGAAACAAAAGACAUGCUCCACCAAUGGACCCUAAAAUAAACUAAUGAGAUAAUCUAGUACUCGUUUAAUUCUGUAUAUAACUAGAACGUUAACUAUCGUAAAGGACAGUAUAACAACUAAGAGAAUGUCUAGGUGGUGGAGUCUACCACGACUGUCCCCACGUUUCGUCAGAAGGAACUCGAAACCAUGGCUCAAAAUUCCUCUUGUAAACGGGAGUACUUCGGGGUGAAACACCAGUAACGUCGACAUCGAUUCCUCCCAUGGGCAGUCGCGGUCGAGUGACGAACGGAUACAUUAGUUAGAUAUAAAGGUUGGAAAAACAAAUACCGAGAGUACCUCUAAGUGCUACAUCACCAGCGUGAAGUUUUGUGAAGUCGGUGUUGUAGAGUCAAGGAUCUCCUUUUUCCGUACAUGAGUCUACUACUUCACGGACUAGGUAAGAUAUCACCCGUAAGACUACUUCUAAGUCGACUACUAACAGCAGUUCUGCACCUGCUGCUGAUACUAGUGAUACAGGCUAGGGGUACUCGUAGCAUAAGUCGGACGAUUCUACAGACUACGGUACACUUCGACAUAUACAUAUCGAAGUGGUAAUGCUGAACCGGAACACCGACAACACAAAUAAGAGGAUACAACCGACUUAUUCUACGCUUCGAGAAACAAAUAUCGAGGCGGAAUCUAAGGGGGGGGGGGGAAAAACUUGACACGAUACCAGUACAUAUUAAUACUUUAGGUACAACUACACAACUCUGUUACAAUAAAUAGAUACAACGUAGAAACGAAAACGG
Molecule: ribosomal RNA, 3077 nt
Filed under: Triticum aestivum (bread wheat)
Lineage: Eukaryota; Viridiplantae; Streptophyta; Magnoliopsida; Poales; Poaceae
Description: partial small subunit ribosomal RNA
Source: RNAcentral